UUCCGAUUAUUUAUAUUUUAGGAGAAUGAAUCACCAAAAAAGGCGCGGGAGGUAAAUAUUACACCCGUUAAGAAAAUCAUACCGAUGCCUUCACAAACAAAACAAGUGAUUUUGCAAUCCAAAGAAGGCCCACAAAUUCUAGGAAUGCUAUAAGGGAUUCAUCAGAUUUUACAAUCCUUAGAUUCAAAAGUGACAGCGCAGAACCAAAAAAUCGAUGAUAAUGUUCAACGUUUAAAAGAUUUGGAACAAACGGUGAAGACAUUUCAGUUGACUGCUCCCAGUACGGUAUUUCAGAAGCCUGCUUUCAUCCCUUUUAAAAACUUCAAAGAACUAAAAAAAUAUGAUGUGUUCGGAGGAGGAACGAGAAAAAUUGAGAAAAUGGUUGGAUUCAUUCAACAGAAGAACCAAUGUUACCGAGAAUGUAAGGGAGAUUCUGCGAGGUAACCGGCUGAUGACAGAUGACCUUCUGACCGAUGUAGUAUGGGAAGGCCAGAAUGGCAGAAAAAGUUCUAAAAAACAAAUAUUCCGUUUACGAAUAACGUACGAUUUACGACACGCUCUUCAAAAUAUGUAUCCGGAGAUGACAGAUGA
This 591-nucleotide long non-coding RNA is filed under the name Cotesia glomerata. RNAcentral describes it as "uncharacterized LOC123263179, transcript variant X2". Lineage: Eukaryota; Metazoa; Arthropoda; Insecta; Hymenoptera; Braconidae. The record is from RNAcentral.